RNAcentral lists this ribosomal RNA (677 nucleotides) under Bacillus inaquosorum. Its description in RNAcentral is "bacterial SSU rRNA". It matches the Rfam family "Bacterial small subunit ribosomal RNA", at positions 52 to 711 of the family's 1533-position model. Lineage: Bacteria; Bacillati; Bacillota; Bacilli; Caryophanales; Bacillaceae. The record is from RNAcentral.
UACAUGCAAGUCGAGCGGACAGAUGGGAGCUUGCUCCCUGAUGUUAGCGGCGGACGGGUGAGUAACACGUGGGUAACCUGCCUGUAAGACUGGGAUAACUCCGGGAAACCGGGGCUAAUACCGGAUGGUUGUUUGAACCGCAUGGUUCAAACAUAAAAGGUGGCUUCGGCUACCACUUACAGAUGGACCCGCGGCGCAUUAGCUAGUUGGUGAGGUAACGGCUCACCAAGGCAACGAUGCGUAGCCGACCUGAGAGGGUGAUCGGCCACACUGGGACUGAGACACGGCCCAGACUCCUACGGGAGGCAGCAGUAGGGAAUCUUCCGCAAUGGACGAAAGUCUGACGGAGCAACGCCGCGUGAGUGAUGAAGGUUUUCGGAUCGUAAAGCUCUGUUGUUAGGGAAGAACAAGUACCGUUCGAAUAGGGCGGUACCUUGACGGUACCUAACCAGAAAGCCACGGCUAACUACGUGCCAGCAGCCGCGGUAAUACGUAGGUGGCAAGCGUUGUCCGGAAUUAUUGGGCGUAAAGGGCUCGCAGGCGGUUUCUUAAGUCUGAUGUGAAAGCCCCCGGCUCAACCGGGGAGGGUCAUUGGAAACUGGGGAACUUGAGUGCAGAAGAGGAGAGUGGAAUUCCACGUGUAGCGGUGAAAUGCGUAGAGAUGUGGAGGAACACCA